Taeniopygia guttata (zebra finch) is the source of this 2348-nucleotide long non-coding RNA. The record is from Ensembl. Lineage: Eukaryota; Metazoa; Chordata; Aves; Passeriformes; Estrildidae.
CCUGAGUGUCCCCAGGGCUGACCCAGGUGUCCCCAGAGCUGGCUCGGGUGUCCCCGGGGCUGGUCCGGGUGUCCUCAGGACUAUCCCGGGUGUCCUCAGACUGUCCCGGGUGUCCACGGGGCUGUCCUGGGUGUCCCCGGGGCUGGUCCGGGUGUCCCCAGGACUAUCCCAGGUGUCCUCAGGGCUGUCCUGGGUGUCCCCAGACUGUCCCGGGUGUCCUCAGGACUAUCCCGGGUGUCCCCAGGGCUGGCCCGGUGUCCCCAGGCUCUGGCGGCUCCUCCCGGUCCCGCUGUCCCCGCUCUGCUCCUGCCGCACGCCCGGGGCUCGGUGCCGGGGUCCCGGGGCACAGGGGGGGUCCUGGGGGUCCGUCCCGCCGCACCGGGGGUCCCGGGGCAUGGGGGGGGUCCCGGGGGUCCGCAGGGUCCUGGCGCUGGGGUCACCUGGGGACGGACGGGUCGGAAUCGACGUGGCCGAGGAGGAAGAGCUCGGGGCGGGCGGCGAAGCCCAGGCGGCCCUGGGGAGGGGAAGGCGACAAUUAGUGCCGGGGGUUUAAUUAGCCAGGAUGAGGAGGCCUGAGCGAGUUUAGGGAAUCCCGAACCUAAGGGAGUUUAGGGGAGCCCAAGUUUAAGGGAGUUUAGGGGAGCCCAGAAUGGGUUAAAGAAGCCCAAGUUGGUUUAAAGAAGGCCGAGCCUAAGGGAGUUUUGGGAAGCCCAGGCUGAGCCUAAGGGAGUUUUGGGAAACCUGAGCCUAAGGGAUUUUAGGGAAGUCGAAGUUUAAGGGAUUUUAGGGAAGUUGAAGUUUAAGGGAUUUUAGGGAAGUUGAAGUUUAAGGGAUUUUAGGGAAGUCGAAGUUUAAGGGAUUUUAGGGAAGUUGAAGUUUAAAGGAUUUUAGGGAAGUCCAAGUUGGUUUUAGGAAGCCCAAACUGGUUUAAGUAACCCUGAGCUCAGCCUGGUUUCACCAAGCCCAAACGAAGCCCCGAUAACGAAGAUGGAAUGAAUGAAGGCCGGUUUAACAAAAUUUAACAAACCCCAAACUGAGCCUGGUUUAACAAAACCACAAUUUAACAAACCCCAAACUGAGCCUGGUUUAACAAAACCCCAAUUUAACAAACCCUGAACUGAGCCUGGUUUAACAAAAUCACAAUUUAACAAACCCCGAACUGAGCCUGGUUUAACAAAACCCCAAUUUAACAAACCCCAAACUGAGCCUGGUUUAACAAAAUCACAAUUUAACAAACCCCGAACUGAGCCUGGUUUAACAAAACCACAAUUUAACAAACCCUGAACUGAGCCUGGUUUAACAAAGCCCCAAUUUAACAAACCCUGAACUGAGCCUGGCUUAACAAAGCCCAAACUGGGCCCGGUUUGAUGAAGCUCAAAUUGAGGGCGGUUUAAAGCCUGGAUUAAUUAAGCCUGGUUUAAUGAAAUGUUGAGCCCAAUUUAAUGAGGCUGAGCAGGGCAGGCUGUAAAUGGAACCAGAGCUGAGCCCGGUUUAAGAAGCCCCAGUUGGGCCCAGUUUAACAAAGCCCAGGGUGGAGCUGGCCCCACCUACACCCAUUAAUUAGCAGUGAGCAGCAGGAACGUGUUAAUUGGGAGCGGAUCCCACUGUUAAUUGGGGCAGAUCUCGAUCCAGCCCCACUCUGAACAGCCCCUCCCUCUGCAGCCCCAAUUAACUGCUCCAGCUUAAUUAGCUUCGGGGCAGGGAUGAGCCUUAAUUAGCAGUGACUGCAGCAGAGACGCUGCAAACCCUCUGCAGGGGCAAAAGCAGGAAAAAAAAUGGGAAUUUGGGUUUUUUUUGGUGGGUCUGGCCUGGGCAGGACCUGAUCCCACAGAGGGAAUUCCCAUGGGAAGGAGGGAGAGGGGGACGUGCCCCAGCUCAGCCCGAUGCCAUUCUGAAUUUUCCCUUUUUUUUUCCUCUUUUUAAUGUUCCCUGUAUUCUUUGCAGGUGUAUUUGUGGCCCUGUAGCCUGUUCUAUUAAUAACUACUUUUCCCAGUAUUUUUCCAUGGCCUUUCCCUGGGCAGAAAGACAAAAAUUCCAGAGCUCCAAGGCCCAGGAACAACUCCUGGAGAUUUCAUGGACGGAGCUCAGCCAGUGCUGAGGGGGGACGGGGAGAGAAUUGCAUCACCUGUCCUCCUAAUUGCUAAUUUAUCAAUUAUAUAAUUUCCUAAAACCUACAAAAAUGUCCUCACCCCUUUGGGGCUUUUGUGGGCAUCUUUCCAUAACUGCCCCCGAAGGCCUUGAAGUAAAACCCACUUUUGUUUGAACUCUGAAUUAAAACGAUCUUGAGUUUUAUUCCCAGGUUGGGAAAACAGCACCAGCCCCAAAAAACGACCCAAGAAGCCGAGUUG